AAGUCGUAACAAGGUUUCCGUAGGUGAACCUGCGGAAGGAUCAUUAAAGAAAUGUUCAAGUGGUUAUUCUAACAGGAGAGUUUGUUAUGCUUCUGUCUGUGCUGUGAGCCUGCGCUUAAUUGCGCGGCCCAGUGUGGAUUAGAAGGUGACAAGUUAAUGCUUGACUGUUUGGAAGACUGCUACUUUACACACUGUGGAGUUUUUCUUCUACAAUUCUUUCCUUUGGGGGUGCAAGCUCCCAGAGGUGACAAACACAAACAAUUUUGUAAUAUUCAUAAACUAGUCAAAACCAAUUUCGUAUUGAAAUUAAAAAUAUUUAAAACUUUCAACAACGGAUCUCUUGGUUCUC
This 349-nucleotide unclassified non-coding RNA is filed under the name Kazachstania africana. RNAcentral's name for it is "partial internal transcribed spacer region". The stretch from base 1 to 46 matches the Rfam family "Eukaryotic small subunit ribosomal RNA", at positions 1786 to 1831 of the family's 1831-position model. Lineage: Eukaryota; Fungi; Ascomycota; Saccharomycetes; Saccharomycetales; Saccharomycetaceae. The record is from RNAcentral.